UACAGAGGGGGCAAGCGUUGUUCGGAAUUACUGGGCGUAAAGGGCGCGUAGGCGGCCUGUUAAGUCGAACGUGAAAUCCCCGGGCUCAACCCGGGAACUGCGUCCGAUACUGGCAGGCUUGAAUCCGGGAGAGGGAUGCGGAAUUCCAGGUGUAGCGGUGAAAUGCGUAGAUAUCUGGAGGAACACCGGUGGCGAAGGCGGCAUCCUGGACGGACAUUGACGCUGAGGCGCGAAAGCUAGGGGAGCAAACGGG
Molecule: ribosomal RNA, 253 nt
Filed under: uncultured bacterium
Lineage: Bacteria
Description: partial 16S ribosomal RNA
Rfam family: Bacterial small subunit ribosomal RNA
Source: RNAcentral